AGCUUGCUCUCGGGUGACGAGCGGCGGACGGGUGAGUAAUGUCUGGGAAACUGCCUGAUGGAGGGGGAUAACUACUGGAAACGGUAGCUAAUACCGCAUAAUGUCGCAAGACCAAAGUGGGGGACCUUCGGGCCUCAUGCCAUCAGAUGUGCCCAGAUGGGAUUAGCUAGUAGGUGGGGUAACGGCUCACCUAGGCGACGAUCCCUAGCUGGUCUGAGAGGAUGACCAGCCACACUGGAACUGAGACACGGUCCAGACUCCUACGGGAGGCAGCAGUGGGGAAUAUUGCACAAUGGGCGCAAGCCUGAUGCAGCCAUGCCGCGUGUGUGAAGAAGGCCUUCGGGUUGUAAAGCACUUUCAGCGGGGAGGAAGGCGAUAAGGUUAAUAACCUUGUCGAUUGACGUUACCCGCAGAAGAAGCACCGGCUAACUCCGUGCCAGCAGCCGCGGUAAUACGGAGGGUGCAAGCGUUAAUCGGAAUUACUGGGCGUAAAGCGCACGCAGGCGGUCUGUCAAGUCGGAUGUGAAAUCCCCGGGCUCAACCUGGGAACUGCAUUCGAAACUGGCAGGCUAGAGUCUUGUAGAGGGGGGUAGAAUUCCAGGUGUAGCGGUGAAAUGCGUAGAGAUCUGGAGGAAUACCGGUGGCGAAGGCGGCCCCCUGGACAAAGACUGACGCUCAGGUGCGAAAGCGUGGGGAGCAACAGGAUUAGAUACCCUGGUAGUCCACGCC
Molecule: ribosomal RNA, 729 nt
Filed under: Klebsiella sp. HGB0160
Lineage: Bacteria; Pseudomonadati; Pseudomonadota; Gammaproteobacteria; Enterobacterales; Enterobacteriaceae
Also listed under: 1 other name
Description: bacterial SSU rRNA
Rfam family: Bacterial small subunit ribosomal RNA
Source: RNAcentral